CCUACGGGGGGCAGCAGUGGGGAAUAUUGGACAAUGGGGGCAACCCUGAUCCAGCCAUGCCGCGUGUGUGAAGAAGGCCCUCGGGUUGUAAAGCACUUUCAGUGAGGAAGAACGCCUGGUGGUUAAUACCCAUCAGGAAAGACAUCACUCACAGAAGAAGCACCGGCUAACUCCGUGCCAGCAGCCGCGGUAAUACGGAGGGUGCGAGCGUUAAUCGGAAUUACUGGGCGUAAAGCGCGCGUAGGUGGCUUGAUAAGCCGGUUGUGAAAGCCCCGGGCUCAACCUGGGAACGGCAUCCGGAACUGUCAAGCUAGAGUGCAGGAGAGGAAGGUAGAAUUCCCGGUGUAGCGGUGAAAUGCGUAGAGAUCGGGAGGAAUACCAGUGGCGAAGGCGGCCUUCUGGACUGACACUGACACUGAGGUGCGAAAGCGUGGGUAGCAAACAGGAUUAGAUACCCCGGUAGUA
Molecule: ribosomal RNA, 465 nt
Filed under: Vreelandella stevensii
Lineage: Bacteria; Pseudomonadati; Pseudomonadota; Gammaproteobacteria; Oceanospirillales; Halomonadaceae
Description: partial 16S ribosomal RNA
Rfam family: Bacterial small subunit ribosomal RNA
Source: RNAcentral